GACGAACGCUGGCGGCGUGCUUAACACAUGCCAGUCGAACGGAAAGGCCCCCUUGUGGGGUACUCGAGUGGCGAACGGGUGAGUAACACGUGAGUAACCUACCCUUGACUUUGGGAUAACUUCAGGAAACUGGGGCUAAUACCGGAUAGGAGCUCCUGCUGCAUGGUGGGGGUUGGAAAGUUUCGGCGGUUGGGGAUGGACUCGCGGCUUAUCAGCUUGUUGGUGGGGUAGUGGCUCACCAAGGCUUUGACGGGUAGCCGGCCUGAGAGGGUGACCGGCCACAUUGGGACUGAGAUAGGGCCCAGACUCCUACGGGAGGCAGCAGCGGGGAAUAUUGCACAAUGAGCGGAAGCCUGAUGCAGCAACGCCGCGUGCGGGAUGACGGCCUUCGGGUUGUAAACCGCUUUCGCCUGUGACGAAGCGUGAGUGACGGUAAUGGGUAAAGAAGCACCGGCUAACUACGUG
This 465-nucleotide ribosomal RNA is filed under the name uncultured bacterium. RNAcentral's name for it is "partial 16S ribosomal RNA". It matches the Rfam family "Bacterial small subunit ribosomal RNA", at positions 28 to 507 of the family's 1533-position model. The record is from RNAcentral.